This 505-nucleotide ribosomal RNA is filed under the name uncultured bacterium. RNAcentral's name for it is "bacterial SSU rRNA". It matches the Rfam family "Bacterial small subunit ribosomal RNA", at positions 28 to 526 of the family's 1533-position model. The record is from RNAcentral.
GACGAACGCUGGCGGCGCGCCUAACACAUGCAAGUCGAACGGAGCGUACUGUGUGAAGCCCUUCGGGGUGGAACUUUGUAUUGCUUAGUGGCGAACGGGUGAGUAACACGUGAGCAACCUGCCUUGAAGUGGGGGACAACAUUUGGAAACAGAUGCUAAUACCGCAUAAGACCACGGAACCGCAUGGUUCUGGGGCCAAAGGAGCAAUCCGCUUUGAGAGGGGCUCGCGCCCGAUUAGCUAGAUGGUGAGGUAACGGCCCACCAUGGCAACGAUCGGUAGCCGGACUGAGAGGUUGAACGGCCACAUUGGGACUGAGACACGGCCCAGACUCCUACGGGAGGCAGCAGUGGGGGAUAUUGCACAAUGGAGGAAACUCUGAUGCAGCGACGCCGCGUGAGGGAAGAAGGUUUUCGGAUUGUAAACCUCUGUCUUCGGGGACGAAACAAAUGACGGUACCCGAGGAGGAAGCCACGGCUAACUACGUGCCAGCAGCCGCAGUAACAC